This 519-nucleotide ribosomal RNA is filed under the name uncultured soil bacterium. RNAcentral describes it as "bacterial SSU rRNA". It matches the Rfam family "Bacterial small subunit ribosomal RNA", at positions 26 to 521 of the family's 1533-position model. The record is from RNAcentral.
AGGACGAACGCUGGCGGCGUGCUUAACACAUGCAAGUGGGGCGACGAACCAGGCUUCGGCCUGGGGCAAAGCCGCGAACGGGUGAGUAACACGUGGAUAACCUGCCCCGAAGACCGGGACAACCCGGGGGAAACCCGAGCUAAUACCGGAUGUGGUCACCGUCCAUAAGGACGAUGAGCAAAGGAAGCUUCGGCCUCCGCUUCGGGGAGGGUCCGCGGCCCAUUAGCUUGUUGGUGAGGUAACGGCUCACCAAGGCAACGAUGGGUAGCUGGUCUGAGAGGACGAUCAGCCACACUGGGACUGAGACACGGCCCAGACUCCUACGGGAGGCAGCAGUGGGGAAUCUUGCGCAAUGCGCGAAAGCGUGACGCAGCAACGCCGCGUGGGUGAAGAAGGCUUUCGGGUACGUAAAACCCUUUCAGGCGGGACGAAGCUUCGGCAGCGAAUAGCGUGUCCGGAGUCGACGGUACCCGCGAAGAAGAACGCCCCGGACUAACCGUACGUGCCAAGCACGCCGAC